This 400-nucleotide ribosomal RNA is filed under the name uncultured fungus. Its description in RNAcentral is "eukaryotic LSU rRNA". The stretch from base 1 to 117 matches the Rfam family "5.8S ribosomal RNA", at positions 38 to 154 of the family's 154-position model. Lineage: Eukaryota; Fungi. The record is from RNAcentral.
GAAGAACGCAGCGAAAUGCGAUAAGUAAUGUGAAUUGCAGAAUUCAGUGAAUCAUCGAAUCUUUGAACGCACCUUGCGCUCCUUGGUAUUCCGAGGAGCAUGCCUGUUUGAGUGUCAUUUAAUUCUCAACCUUAUUAGCUUUUGUUGAUAAUGGCUUGGAUGUGGGGGUUUUCUUUUGCUGGCUUUCUUCGGAUGUCAGCUCCCCUUAAAUGUAUUAGCCGGUGCCCUGCGUGGACUAUCCGUUGGUGUGAUAAUUAUCUACGCCGUUGGAUGUCUGCAAAUAGGUUUUGCACUGCUUCUAACUGUCUGUUCAUUUGGACAAUACAUGACAAUUUGACCUCAAAUCAGGUAGGACUACCCGCUGAACUUAAGCAUAUCAAUAAGCGGAGGAAAAGAAACU